AGCUUUGCGCAGUGGCAGUAUCAUAGCCAAUGAGGUUUAUCCGAGGCGCGAUUAUUGCUAAUUGAAUUCUAAUAUUAAAACCAAUCCACAAACUGACUACCCCGAUUAAGAAAUAUAUCACAUAAUUGUUGAAGAGCCCUAUGUUC
Small nuclear RNA from Vulpes vulpes (red fox), 146 nucleotides. Its record names the gene U4. It matches the Rfam family "U4 spliceosomal RNA". From Rfam's summary of the family: U4 small nuclear RNA (U4 snRNA) is a component of the major U2-dependent spliceosome. The structure of U4 snRNA from yeast and human has been reported. NCBI's taxonomy places the organism in Eukaryota, Metazoa, Chordata, Mammalia, Carnivora, Canidae. The record is from Ensembl.